UGGCGGCGUGCCUAAUACAUGCAAGUCGAGCGGGAUUGGUGGAUCGCAAGUGAUGCCAGUCUAGCGGCGGACGGCUGAGUAACGCGUGGGUGACCUGCCUUGAAGUGGGGAAUAACGGUUCGAAAGAAUCGCUAAUACCGCAUGUGGUCGUGGCUUCGUUGUUACGACUAAAGCCGUAAGGCGCUUCGAGAGGGGCCUGCGUCCGAUUAGCUAGUUGGUGGGGUAAUGGCCUACCAAGGCUCCGAUCGGUAGCUGGUCUGAGAGGAUGAUCAGCCAGACUGGGACUGAGAACGGCCCAGACUCCUACGGGAGGCAGCAGUAAGGAAUUUUCCACAAUGGGCGAAAGCCUGAUGGAGCAACGCCGCGUGGGCGAAGAAGGCCUUCGGGUCGUAAAGCCCUUUUCUAGGGGACGAUAAUGACGGUACCCUAGGAAUAAGCCACGGCUAACUACGUGCCAGCAGCCGCGGUAAUACGUAGGUGGCGAGCGUUGUCCGGAUUUAUUGGGCGUAAAGAGCGCGGAGGUGGUGCCUUAAGUUGGGCGUGAAAUCCCCCUGGCUUAACUGGGGGAGGUCGUCCAAUACUGAGGUGCUUGAGGGUGGACGGGGAGAGCGGAAUUCCCGGUGUAGUGGUGAAAUGCGUAGAUAUCGGGAGGAACACCAGUGGCGAAGGCGGCUCUCUAGACCAUUCCUGACACUGAAGUGCGAAAGCGUGGGUAGCGAACGGAAUUAGAUACUCCGGUAGUCCACGCUGUAAACGAUGAACACUAGGUGUAGUGGGUAUCGACCCC
This 787-nucleotide ribosomal RNA is filed under the name uncultured bacterium. RNAcentral describes it as "bacterial SSU rRNA". It matches the Rfam family "Bacterial small subunit ribosomal RNA", at positions 37 to 839 of the family's 1533-position model. The record is from RNAcentral.